This 579-nucleotide ribosomal RNA is filed under the name Ivalia uenoi complex sp. AFD-245. Its description in RNAcentral is "SSU rRNA". It matches the Rfam family "Eukaryotic small subunit ribosomal RNA", at positions 64 to 622 of the family's 1831-position model. Lineage: Eukaryota; Metazoa; Arthropoda; Insecta; Coleoptera; Chrysomelidae. The record is from RNAcentral.
UACAAGCCAAAUUAAGGUGAAACCGCGAAAGGCUCAUUAAAUCAGUUAUGGUUCCUUAGAUCGUACACACAUUUACUUGGAUAACUGUGGUAAUUCUAGAGCUAAUACAUGCAAACAGAGCUCCGACCGGAGACGGAAGGAGCGCUUUUAUUAGAUCAAAACCAAUCGGUGGCGGGCUUGCUCGUCAUCGUAAUACUUGGUGACUCUGAAUAACUUUUCGCUGAUCGCACGGUCCUGCACCGGCGACGCAUCUUUCAAAUGUCUGCCUUAUCAACUGUCGAUGGUAGGUUCUGCGCCUACCAUGGUUGUAACGGGUAACGGGGAAUCAGGGUUCGAUUCCGGAGAGGGAGCCUGAGAAACGGCUACCACAUCCAAGGAAGGCAGCAGGCGCGCAAAUUACCCACUCCCGGCACGGGGAGGUAGUGACGAAAAAUAACGAUACGGGACUCAUCCGAGGCCCCGUAAUCGGAAUGAGUACACUCUAAACCCUUUAACGAGGAUCAAUUGGAGGGCAAGUCUGGUGCCAGCAGCCGCGGUAAUUCCAGCUCCAAUAGCGUAUAUUAAAGUUGUUGCGGUUAA